AGGGUUUGAUUCUGGCUCAGGAUGAACGCUGGCGGCGUGCUUAACACAUGCAAGUCGAACGAAGCACUUUACUUGAUUUCUUCGGAAUGAUUGUUCUGUGACUGAGUGGCGGACGGGUGAGUAACGCGUGGGUAACCUGCCUCAUACAGGGGGAUAACAGUUGGAAACGGCUGCUAAUACCGCAUAAGCGCACAGGGUCGCAUGACCUGGUGUGAAAAACUCCGGUGGUAUGAGAUGGACCCGCGUUGGAUUAGCUAGUUGGUGAGGUAACGGCCCACCAAGGCGACGAUCCAUAGCCGACCUGAGAGGGUGACCGGCCACAUUGGGACUGAGACACGGCCCAA
Molecule: ribosomal RNA, 344 nt
Filed under: uncultured bacterium
Lineage: Bacteria
Description: bacterial SSU rRNA
Rfam family: Bacterial small subunit ribosomal RNA
Source: RNAcentral